This 497-nucleotide ribosomal RNA is filed under the name uncultured bacterium. RNAcentral's name for it is "partial 16S ribosomal RNA". It matches the Rfam family "Bacterial small subunit ribosomal RNA", at positions 28 to 507 of the family's 1533-position model. The record is from RNAcentral.
GAUGAACGCUGGCGGCGUGCCUAAUACAUGCAAGUAGAGCGAACAGACGAGGAGCUUGCUCCUCUGACGUUAGCGGCGAACGGGUGAGUAACACGUGGAUAACCUACCUAUAAGACUGGGAUAACUUCGGGAAACCGGAGCUAAUACCGGAUAAUAUAUUGAACCGCAUGGUUCAAUAGUGAAAGACGGUUUUGCUGUACCUUAUAGAUGGAUCCGCGCCGCAUUGGCUAGUUGGUAAGGUAACGGCUUACUAAGGCAACGUUGAGUAGCCAACCUAAAGGGUGGUUCGGCCACCCGGGAACGGGACCACGGUCCAGACUCCUAGGGGAGGCACCAGUAGGGAAUCUUCGGCAAUGGGCGAAAGCCUGACGGACCAACGCCGCGUGAGUGAUGAAGGUCUUCGGAUCUUAAAACCCGUUUAUUGGGGAAGAACAAAUGGGGAAUGAACUAUGCACGUCGUGACGGUACCUAAUCAGAAAGCCACGGCUAACUACGUG